AAAAAAAAAAAAAAGAACAAACAAAGAAAAAACUAAAAAGAGAGAGGAGAAGAGAAGGGAAUCAACAAGAAAAGAGAAAAAGAGUUAGAGAGAAAAGUGGGGAGAAAAACUAAGAGAAAGCAAAAGACAGUAACAUAGAGAAAACAAAAGUGGACAAAAUUUUCUUUUAGAAAUCAUAGAGAUUUUUUUUUUUUAAAAUGUGGUAGACAGCAAGUUGGAGUUUGACAGUUGGAUCGUGAUUUCGAGUUCGUGGCUUCUUAUUUCUUUUAUUGUAAAUUAUUUUUGCAACAGGUAACUCUCAAUCCUUCUUUGCAUUAUGUAACGUCGCCAUUAUACGAGAAUUGAUUCCAUUAUUAUGAAGUUUCUCAAGUUUCACAUGUGUUUAAACGUUCAUAAUUUUAUAUAGUUAAAUCCAGAGAAAAAUUCAUAUAUUAUAUGAUUUUUUUUUGUAUGCUUAACUUAAUUUAUUUUUCCUUAAAUUGAUAAGAAAAUUGUUACGUACAAUGUUGGUAUUGGCAUAUAACGUGUAAUAUAUAGUAGGUAAAUGUUAGUUCAAAUAUUAGAUCUAAUAAAGUAUAAAUAGUAAUGUGAAAUACAUAUACGUUAGUGAAUUUGGGAUCUUUAACAGUAUUUCUUUUGGCUCCACAUUGUUAGAGUUGAAGUUAAUAUAACAUGGAAAUUGCAUGUUUGAUAUUUUUAUCUCGAUUGAGAAUGCGACAUACGCAUCUUUUCAAGUCAUUUUAAAUUUAUAUUUUCUAAAAAUUAAUUUUCAUGGUUUAUUUAAUAUAAGAUAAUACCCAAGUUUUCGGUAUAAUAAAAAUGAGCGAUUUUAGGCCUUAAUAUAAUUUAUCAAAAUGGUUUAAGUCGAGAUAAGUCAAUAAAAGUGCCCAUGCUAGAACCACGGGACUCGAGGGGUGGCUCACACCUUUCCCUCGGUCAACGAAAUUUCUUACUCGGUCUUCUGUUUUCGCAGACCAUAACAAAGAGUCAUUUCCUUUUGACUAGGGAUUCAAAAAGGUGACUUGGAACAGCAUAACUCAAUUCCAAGUGGCGACUCUAAAAAUGAUAAAGAUAAUUCCUUUUCAAAAUCAUCACUUUAAUUGGAAAAACUCUUCGACCUCGACUCGGCCUUCGAGCGAAAAAAGGGGUGUGACAAUAUAUAUAUAUAUAUAUANNNNNNNNNNNNNNNNNNNNNNNNNNNNNNNNNNNNNNNNNNNNNNNNNNNNNNNNNNNNNNNNNNNNNNNNNNNNNNNNNNNNNNNNNNNNNNNNNNNNNNNNNNNNNNNNNNNNNNNNNNNNNNNNNNNNNNNNNNNNNNNNNNNNNNNNNNNNNNNNNNNNNNNNNNNNNNNNNNNNNNNNNNNNNNNNNNNNNNNNNNNNNNNNNNNNNNNNNNNNNNNNNNNNNNNNNNNNNNNNNNNNNNNNNNNNNNNNNNNNNNNNNNNNNNNNNNNNNNNNNNNNNNNNNNNNNNNNNNNNNNNNNNNNNNNNNNNNNNNNNNNNNNNNNNNNNNNNNNNNNNNNNNNNNNNNNNNNNNNNNNNNNNNNNNNNNNNNNNNNNNNNNNNNNNNNNNNNNNNNNNNNNNNNNNNNNNNNNNNNNNNNNNNNNNNNNNNNNNNNNNNNNNNNNNNNNNNNNNNNNNNNNNNNNNNNNNNNNNNNNNNNNNNNNNNNNNNNNNNNNNNNNNNNNNNNNNNNNNNNNNNNNNNNNNNNNNNAUAAUAAUAAUAAUAAUAAUAAUAAUAAUAAUAAUAAUAAUAAUAAUAAUAAUAAUAAUUAAUAAUCCACUGAAAAGUUAUGUACGAUUCAUGAAUAAUAAUUAUCAUACUUUGAAUAUUAAGGACUAUAUAUAUUGUAUUUGUUUGAUGAUAUCGCUGCAACAUAAUCUACAUUAAAUUUUAUAUUCCUAACAACAUGUAAUUGUGGAUAGAGUAAUUGAAGCAAACAAUAUCUUAAAUUUGAAUAAACAACUCCAAGAUAAUUUUAUAAGCAACUUUGUAGCAUUAUAUUUAACAUUAAUGUACAACUAUAUCAUAAAAUAAAAUAAGGAUAAAUAUGAUAUUAUGUACAACUAUAUCAUAAAACAAAAUAAGGAUAAAUAUGAUAUUAGUGUCCUAUUUUUUCAAAUAUACAUUUUUAUUUAUAAGCGAAUUAUUUCUAACAAAAGAAUUAUAACGUAUAGAAGAAUGUGACCUUUUGAAUUUCAACAAUAUAAACAGUUUAUUCUCAUAUCGUGAGAUCUGAAAAGGAUAAUGUGUACAUAAUUCAUAUCAUUACCUCGGUGGUUAGAUAGAUUGGUGGUUUUCGAUAAAUCCUCAGCUCAAGACAAACACAAUAAACAGAUAGUAAUAGAAAAAUGCUACCAAAAAAUAAUAUUACAAGCGAUCUACCCAAAACAACAUACAUUGAUAUGCAUCCAAGAACCAAAAAUCAACAAGCAUAACACUAAUUUUAGAUUUUUUUACUUGUUUAGAGUAUGUUUACAUAUAAAUAAACGUAUUUAAUAUGAUUUAUUUUUAUCUUAUUCUAUAUAUUUUAAUUUCUUUAUUUUGAAAUAAUUGAUAAGAAAAUUCGAGAUACUUAUACAUGUAAGACACACACGACGAAAAAAUUAAUGUAAAUAAGACAAAAAUAAAGUAAUUGUGUACAAAAUGUACGCAUAUUAAGGUGUAAGGUGGGGGUGGGGUGGGGGACAAAUUUUAAGAAUUGUAAUGAACUGUUUUAACAAUCUAACAAUACUUUCAACUUAAAACCACUUAAUUUGUAAUAAAUUAAUCAAUAAUGUAUGUUCUUUUUUUUGCCUUUGCCUUAAUUUUUUAUUUUUUUAAAGUUAUAUUAUUCUACACAAAAUAUGCGAUUACAAUAAUUAAUUUAAAAUAAUUUUAUAAAAUUUAGGCAAUGAUUAGUGUCGCAAUAUAUACAUGAAUAUUUUUUACUUCUUUAAGAGUAUAUUUAUAUAUAAAAAAAUAUUUAGCAGGGUUUUAUUUUAAAUUUUAUCUUGUUAUGUAUAACUAUUAUUUUGAGAUAAGGAAAAAGAACACUAAAUUGCUUAUGCAUACUACAUACCAAACAUAAUUUAAUUUACUAGACAAAAAUAAAGUAAUAAAAAUACAAUAGACAAGAGUAAGAGCAAAUUUUAAGAAUAUAUUAAACUAAUUAGAUCAUACAAAUAUUACUAUUCAUAAAUUUAAACCGGAGAUAUGUGAAUUAUAUAAUAAAUUUUAAAAUAAAAAUAAAAUAAUAUUAAUAAUAUAAUAUAUUUAAAUUAUGAAUAAUAUAAUAAAAAAAUAUGAANNNNNNNNNNNNNNNNNNNNNNNNNNNNNNNNNNNNNNNNNNNNNNNNNNNNNNNNNNNNNNNNNNNNNNNNNNNNNNNNNNNNNNNNNNNNNNNNNNNNNNNNNNNNNNNNNNNNNGCCUCAUUUUUUUUAUAAUAAUAAAUUACAAAUUUUAAGAAAUAUAUUAAAUACUAUUUAUAGAAAAAAGAAAUUUUUUAUAUAAAAAAAAAUUUAGGAGUUUGAUAUAGAAAAAACUUUUUAAUGCAUUGACUAUAUUAUUAAUUAAAAAAAUUAUUAAAUACGAUUAUAUAAUUUUAAAAAUAGACUUUAUAAAAAUAAUUAUUUUUUCUUAAAAAUGUAAGGCCUUCAUUUGAUUUUUACCUUAGGCCACAUAUUUGUUUGAGCCGCCCCGAAUAUAAAUUGCAAUCACUUCAUUGUUUUAGUUGAGAUUGAGUCGCAAUAACCUUUAUGGAUAAGUUCAAAAAUCACUAAGCAAUUGCAAACGCUUGCUGACACUUGAUAUUGGAUGGAACAAAAUAAAUGGCACCACACCAGAGUAGUUCUGAGAAAGUCUCUUAUCUUUGUGAAAGCUUAGGAUGACAGAUAACAUUUUAUUGAUGGAUGGUUCCACAAUAACUAUGCCAUUUUAGAACCUUGCCUACCCGCACAUCAUGCAGUUUUCAAAAUUACUUAGGUAUGCUGGUGCUGAAAUAAAGCUCUUUCUUUAAAUGGAUUGUGCACUAAAAAAGUGCACAAUCGAAUAAUAAUAUAUUGUGCACUUUUUAGUUCACUAUCUAUAAAUAAAUGGAUUGUGCACUAAAAAAGUGCACAAUCUUUAAAAAAAUGAAUUGGCAGGUGAAGUAUAUGUGAAUAGAUUGUACAUGCACAAUCCAUUAGUGCACAAUCUAUAAAAAAUAGAUUGUGCACUUAAUAAGUGCACAAUCCAUAAAAAAUGGAUUGUGCACAAUCCAUAAAAAAAGAAUUGUGCACAAUCCAUAAAAAAAAGGAUUGUGCACAAUCCAUAAAAAAAGGAUUGUGUACUUAUUAAGUGCACAAUCCAUACAAAAAUAGAUUGUGUACUUAUUAAGUGCACAAUGUGAUUUUAACACCGUCCAGCCGUCUGCCGUUAAAAUGUAAAGGUAUUGUGCACUUAUUAAGUGCACAAAGCCUAUUUUGAUAUUUUUUUAUAUGGUUUAAAUUAAUAUUUUUUUAGUUUGAUGGCAUAUUUUUGUUUUGGAUUCCCCAAUGAGCCAUAUCAGCUUGUAGAGUAGAAUGACUAAAAUACCCUUCAUGUAAAUUUCUUAUGAUAGACACCAGACAUGUCGAAACCCCUUUUUCUAAUAUAUAAAAAAAUAUAAUGGGACAGCAGUUUACAAGUGCAAACAGAGAAAAGUUUAAAUUUAAGUCUAAUUAAUUAAUUUGUAUAAUUUUCAGAAAGAUCUAUAUAUUAGAAGAGUUGCCUUCAAUAUGGCAACUUAAUAUUAUUGGAGAAAAGAUUAAGAGUAUUGUGGUCUUCAAAAAUUGUUACAAAAUAAGGCUGACUAAGUAGAGCUGUUCGUUGUGUUUUCUUAUUUGGACUUCAGCAGCAAUUUCAAGAAAAGGUCCACACUUUUUCAUUAAACUACAAAUCAUGUCCUAAUAAAAUAUUUAUUUUUUCUCAUUAAAUUACAGAUCAUACCCUAAUAGAAUAUCAAUGAAUGCAGUGGGGCUCACUGAACUUUUAUAAAUCUAAAUACUAAGAAAUGAUUAGGUAAUUUUAAAAAAAAAUUUAUAUUAAAGUUAAUAUCGAAAAAUAAAACCAACCAAAUAUAUAAGAAUUUCAUAUAGCUUAAUGACUGUAUGGAAGUUUUUACCCGAACAAGGAGCGUGUCAGAAUUUAAUACAUACUUCAGUUGAGCCCAUGUGUCUAGUGGUUCUAACCGUGAAAAAGGGGCGCCCUUUUCUAUAACUUUAACAGGCUUAAAGAUUCACGACUCACUAGACGUAGUCACUAAGACAAAGCCAAUAAAAGCAGUACUAAAUUCGACUGUACCACCAUUUCAGAACCAUGUUAGGAAACUAUAGAAAAAUUUCUUUAUAUUUUGAUAGAGUUUGGAUCUUUCAUAGCUAUUAUACAAGAGAAGUUAGAUCUUCAGCACAAAUAUGAAAAUUAUUUAUCCGGACAUAGUCAUGGCCAAAUAGGAAGAGAGAGUAUUAAAGAACACAAAUUAAAAUUUUAUAAAUACCUUAAUUGGCCGAAUAUAAAGCCUGAAUAGUAAUUUAUGACAGAUUUUUAUUCCAAACUUGGGAAUAUUAUACAAGAGAGAUGAAGAACUAGAGAGAGAGACUCUGGAGAAAAAAAAAAGAAAAUUUAAAGCUUAUGCCUUCCUUAACAAAUGAAGACACCUAUUUAUAGAAAAGAAAAAGAAUCUAGAAUAGUAAAAUGGGUUCCACAUCCGGGUCCCAUGCAUAGUGGAUCUACUGUGUAGGAAUUUGCCAAUAGUACUAAGGAUCCCACAUCCGAGUCCCAUGCAUAGUGAAUUUACUAUGCAGACAUCUGGGAAUAGUAUAUCAUAUUUUAUUCUUCCCUUUUAAUUUUUUAAGAAAUUCUUCCAUUCUUGCAAUGGCAUCUUCUGACAGAGGUCUAUCUGAAGUGAUAGGCUGUGAGUCUUCAACAUCUUCUUCAGUGAUAUCAUCACAAGUUAUACUGUUCAUUGAUGUGUCUGAUUUGUCAUGACUAUCAACUGAUUUCAUCAGAUUUUUUCAGACUUCUUCCAAAUGGUUUUUUAUCAUUUCAAUUUUGUCGCCGUCAUGCACAACGAUUCUCCUUGCAAUGUGUUUUAGUGAAUUUUCCUCGAUAAUAUUUUGUUGAGGGACGAUUGAAUAUUGUUGAAAUUUAUUUUGAAUAGAGUCCAAGAGUUUUUGUUCAUGCAAUAUUUUUAUUUUGGGAUCCUUUCUCAUUAAUUUAUUCCAAAAAUUAUUAUAAAAUAUCCUAUAUAAACAUGGGAUUUGUUCUCCCAUGAAUCUAAAUUUCGAAGCCCAUUUAUGAAUGCAAGGAAUAGAGAAUUCUUGGAAGAAAUACAUUUGUUCAAUUUUAUCCAAAUUGCAGACAUGAUUUGCACGAUAUAAUUCGUUUAACUGAGGAGAGACUUUGGCCAUUUUUUGUAUAACUUUAAAAAUGGGUUUGGUAAUAUCUAAAUGGUUGGACCAUGAUAGGACCACCAAUUAAAAAAACCAAUUUCGUAUUGAUUCUGCAUAGGUCUUUACACAUGUCUAUCAUUAUUAUAAUAAAGGACUUUAUCAAAGGCCUGAAUGUAGUCCCAAUAAGUAAAAUUUAUUUUGAAACCUUUAAGCAGUAUCUGUUUUUCUGUCACAGUGGUCAUUCCCCAAUCUUCUACGGAUAUAAUCCAUUUAAUAACAAUUUUAGAGAAGUUAUAAAUGCAUUCUUCACUGUUAUAACCAAAGAAAUAUUUGCAUUCUGUACUCCCAAUCGUACUGAGAAUAAUUUCAUAAUAAGUGUGGGUUUUGUAAGUGUAAUACCCCAUACUUUUUCCUAACUCGAAAUCAUCUCAAGAAUGUUAGAAGCUUUCCUUGAAAGAUAAAUCCACUUUUUUACACGUAGUAUUUUUAAGAUUUUCACUUUUUGUCACGAGAAAUUGAAUUAUCUUUUCAAUGAUACCAAUUUCGUCAAAAUCUGACAUCGGAGGAGAAAGUUAUGGUCAAAAUACAGAAGACAGUAAAACCGCCCAGAUGCGACAGUGAGACCGAUGGACCGUCGGACUAGCGACGGACCGUUGCCCACGACCGUCGCAGUAAGGCAGUGAGAACUACCUUCUGCCUAGGAGCAAUGACCCAAGCCGACGGACCAUCGCAAGGGAAAUAGUGAGGCUAUCUUCUGGAUAAGGUGCGAUGGUUAUGUUGAUGGACUAUCGAAAGUGCGAUGGACCAUCGCCCAAGACAUCAUAGCUAAAAUAGUGAGACCCCAUUCUGCCUAGAAGCGACGGUCAGGGCCAACAGAUUGUCAACCCAGCGACGAAUCGUUCCACCCACCGUUGCAGAUCCCAUUCAGUUUUUUUUAAGUCAUUUUAACAGGGGUAUUUUGAUCAUUUACCACCCACUUAUAUAUACCCAGUUAUAUCCAAUUUCUGCUCAUUUGUUCAUUAUUAUUUCAAUAAUAACAUUAGGGUUUCUCUCUGAAAUUAAUCCCUAAGAACAAGAAUCCAAAUCUUCUCCAAGAAACUAAGAGAUUCAAAUCCCUCAAGUUCAAGAACAUCAAGAAAACUCAGCCCAGAUAUGCGUAUUAUUCAUUCAUGAACUCCUUUCAUUCAUGAAGCCCAACAAUCCUUUUCUAAGCUCAAGUUUAUGGAUUUUCUUUAUGAUAUUUAUAUUGGGUUUCUCUUGUUCAUGUUGAUAAUGGCUAAUUGAAUUUUUAAUCCAUGUUUGGUGAUAAAUUUAUGUGGAAUUGAUUAGUAUAGAUGUAGAUUCAUGUCAACCUAUGAUUAAACCCUUGAAUGAUGAAAUUAAAAUUGAACCAUUUUGUUUAAUUGUUAUAUAAUGUUGUCUGCAUAUACUAUGCCUAUCAUGUGUUUGAUUAAAUGCCUAGAUACAGGAAAAUGCCCAAUUAGUAUGAUAUCAUAAAAUCCCUAUGUAUGUAUAAGUUUAUGCAUAUCCCAUGGUUGAUGAAAUGCUUCGAUAAAUGAUUUAUGGAUAAUGAUGUUAGUCAUAUGCUCGAGUAAGUCAUGCUUUGUCAGUUUUCUUUUAUCGAGUCUUGGGGGUACUUAUACCUAAACAAUUAGCUAUGUGCAUAGAGAUAUGUCAUGGUUUCACGAUAUUCUUAGUCAAGCUAUGUUCCUUAGACUUCAGAUAGUCUUAUGACUCAGGAAAUCUCCAUGAUCUCAUGAACUCAGUCAGUUAUCAGAUAUCAGUAGUAUUUCCUCCAGUCAACAUAAUUUAGUAACUCAGUCUAGUUAGUUUAGUUAAUCAUGUUCAGUGUCUAUUCAGAUGGGAGUAGGGAUUAGCACCGAGUGAACCUAAGGAUGGAAACUCACCUGUUAUAUGAGGGUGUGAUUCUUAGAAGCAGUUCUUGUAUUCCGGAAUUAUGUAGCCAAUAUAGGUUAAGACAUCAUAGCCUGCUAUAUGAGGGUCGUUGAGGUGGCUUAGCCUGCUAUAUGAGGGUUUCUACCAUUCUCACUAGAGUUACCUGUUAUAUUAGGGUCACUCACAUAUUGUCCUUACCAGUGGCGCAGUAUUGACACCCCUCCAAUUAGGGCAUAGAUUGGACCCCAGUUCAGCUAUAAUGCAUUAUUUGGGGCAUGUCAAUUAGAUAAAUAACUCCCACAGUCUUAAUAUUAGUCUCAAUAAAACAACUCAGAUAGUUCUUCAGAAUUUAAGACUGUCAGAUACAGCCAACUCAGAUACAGUAUGGAACUCAGCUAGUUCUAUCAGAUUCAGGACUGUCAGAUAUAGUUACUCAUGUUAUUAGUUAUUUGAAUUCAGUCAUUAGUUAUGUUAGUCAUCAGCAUACUCAUCUUAUCAUGAUUUCAGAUAUAGUUACUAUGUAUGCAUGCAUGUAUUAUCACGUAUAUAUUAGUCAGUUAGAUAGUAUUGUUCAUGCAUAUAAACCCUAUACAUUCAGCCUACCUCAUAUGCAUACCAGUAUAUUCAAAGUAUUGAUGUAUUUGGGCUAUGGUGUCUUAUACCACAAGUUCAGAGACACGAGCUCCAGAGCUUCAGUAGAUUCCAGAUAUCAGCAGUGAGUCCUCAUCCUUCGAGGAUAUGAUUAUUUAUCUAUUAUCUCAUUAAUUAGUUUAUUAGUUGGAGUUAGUUGGGGACAUGUCCCAUCAACUCCUUACUCAAACAGUUUAGUCAGUUAGAGGCUUUCCAAACUUUUAUGUUCAGACAGUUAUUUCAGUUGUUUUGUUUUUUUCAUACCCCUUUUCAGAUGUUAUGUUUUACUUCAGAUAUGUGACCCUUAUGGCCUUUCAGUUCAUGUUUCUGUAUUAUUUAGUAUUUUAUAUAGUAUACAGGUACAAAUAUCAGUCAUGGGUUAGCUUGUGGUCCUUCGGGGUUAUGAGCACUGUGUAGCAUACCAGAUUUAGGGCGUUACAAACUUGGUAUCAGAGCCUAAGGUUCAAUAUAGUCAUAGGAAGUCUGAAAGUCGCAUCUAGUAGAGUCUUGUACAUGGGUGUGUUACACGCCACAUUUAUGUGCAAGAGUGUAUAAGAUAUUUUAGGAACAGUUUUCCUUCUUUCAGUACUCAUGUUGUGCUAGUGAGCAUAAUCUUAAGUCGAUCUAUGAGUCUAAUCCGUUUCUUCUCUUUAUUUCAGAAUAUGCCUCCCAAGAGAAGAACCCAGCUUGUCCAAGAAGAUCUCUUGGACGAACAUGUUUCUCAUGCAGAGUUUAGAGCUGAAUUCACUACUCUUGCUCAGUCAGUUUCCACUCAAAAUGAAUGUCCAACAGUUAUUCUGACAAACCCAGUGUCCAAUUCAGCUGUAGCUAGGAUUUGUGACUUCACCCGAAUGAAUCCUCUAUCCUUUCUUGGGUUUAAAAUAGAUGAGGACCCUCCAAAAUUCCUAGAUCAAGUUCAAAAGGUUAUAAAGAUAAUGGGGGUUACUCCUAGUGAGAGUGUUGAGAUAUCUGCAUAUCAGUUAUAGGAUGUUGCUCACACUUAGUUUAAGCAGUGGAGGUCAGAGAGGGCAGAUGAUGGAGGGCCAGUUGAGUGGGAGGAGUUUGCUUCUGCUUUUCUUGAUAGAUUCUUUCCCCUAGAGCUUAGAGAAGCUAAGGUGCUAUAAUAUAUCAACCUCAGGCAGGGAAAUAUGAAAGUGAAAGAGUAUUCUCUUAAGUUUACUCAAUUAGCCAGAUAUGCCCCUCAUGUGGUUGCAGAUAGCAGGGUAAGGAUGAGUAAGUUCAUUUCAGAGGUGAAUAAUAGCGUGGUUAAUGAGAGUAUAUCCUCCAUGCUGAAUAGUGACAUAACUUUAACUAGGCUCAUGACUCAUGCUCAGUAGAUAGAGGAGCAGAAGAUUAAGAUAAGGGAGAAGCAGAAUAAGAGAGCGAAGACAGGUAGUUUCAACUUUGCUCAGCCUAAGUCAGAAGAAGAAAACCGUUCUCAGUUUCAUCCUAAGUCAUUAGUUCCAGCUCCUUCUUCAGCCAGUUCUCCAGUUCCUAAGUUCAUAAAGGGUAACAAAGAUAGAGCGCCAGGCUCUAAGUCCCAAGGCAGUGUUAGUAGCGCUCGCACCUAUCCUCUUUGCCAGACUUGUGGAAAGCACCAUCAGGGUAUUUACAGAGCUAACAGUGGUAUUUGUUUCGGAUGUGGCAAGCAUGGCCACAGAGUCAGAGACAAUCCUCAGGGUCAACAGAAUCACUUUUCAGCUUUGUCCGAUCGCCUAAAUCAGUAGGGUGCCACUUCCAGUGCUACUAGUGGGCAACGCCCAAAUCAUCUAUAUGCUCUUCAAUCCUAACAAGAUUAGGAAAAUUCUCCUAAUGUGGUUACCGGUACGUUACAGAUCUUUCAUGUGCAUGUUUAUGCUUUGCUAGAUUCAGGAGCUUCUUUGUCUUUUGUUACUCCUUAUAUAGCAGUUGAUGUUAGAGUCAGUCCCAAAAUUCUAGUAGAGCCCUUUUCAGUCUCUACCCCAGUGGGUAAAACCAUCAUAGCCCGGUGGGUAUACAGGAACUAUCCGAUUAUGAUAUUUCAGAAAGUCACAUCAGUAGACUUAGUCGAAUUAAAGAUGAUUGAUUUUGAUGUCAUUCUUGGCAUGGAUUGGCUUUAUUCCUUCUAUACCAAAGUCGACUGCAGAAAUAGAAUAGCCCAGUUUCAGUACCCAAAUGAACCUGUCCUAGAGUGAAAGGAUAGUGUAUCCGCUUUCAGAGGUCAUUUUGUUUCGUACCUUCAGGCAAGCAAAUUAAUAUCUAAGGGAUGUGUCUAUCAUCUUGAUCGUGCUAAGGAUUCCCGUUCUGAGACUCCCAGUCUUGAAUUAGUCCCAGUAGUGAAUGAAUAUUCAGAUGACUUUCCCGAAGAUCUUCCAGGAAUUUCUCUCAAAAGGGAAAUAGACUUCGGCAUUGAUCUUCUUCCAGAUACUCAGCCUAUCUCUAUUCUUCCAUACAGAAUGACACCAGCAGAACUCAAAGAACUAAAAGAGUAGUUGAAGGAUCUCUUAGAUAAAGGAUUCAUCAGACCCAACAUUUCCCUGUGAGGCGCUCCAGUAUUAUUCAUGCGCAAGAAAGACGGUUCUCUCAAAAUUCAACUCAAUAAGGUCAUGGUCAAGAACAAGUAUCGUCUUCCCAGAAUAGAUGACCUGUUUGACAAACUUCAGGGAGCCAUUUAUUUCUCUAAGGUAGAUCUCAGAUCCUGCUAUCAUCAGCUCAGAGUUAGGGAAUGUGAUAUUCCAAAAAUAGCUUUCCAAACUCUGUAUGGUCACUUCAAAUUUCUAGUCAUGUCAUUUGGUCUUACUAAUGCCUCAGCCACUUUCAUGGAAUUGAUGAACUAUGUGUUCAAGUAUUUCUUGGACAUGUUGUCAUAGUCUUCAUAGAUGAUAUUUCUAGCCUAUUCCCGUAGUGAGCACGAUCAUGCAGCCAUCUCAGGAUAGUACUUCAGACUCUCAGAGAUCAUCAGCUAUUUGUCAAAUUCAGUAAGUGGGAGUUUUGAAUAAGUUCAGUAGCAUUCCUUGGUCACAUCGUUUCUGGUAAUGGCAUUAGAGUAGAUUCUCAAAAUACCAAAGCAGUAAGAAACUGGCCUCGCCCUGUCUCUCUAUCAGAUAUUAGGAGUUUCUUGGUUUUGGCUGGCUAUUAUAGAUGGUUUAUUGAGGGAUUUUCUUCUAUUGCAUCCCCUUUGUCCAGACUGACUCAGAAUAAAAUCAAGUUUCAGUGGUCAGAUCCUUGUGUGAAGAGUUUUCAGGAGUUGAAGACUCGACUCACCUCAGCUCCAGUUUUAGCUCUUUCGGAUGGUUCAGAUGGGUUUGUAGUGUAUUGUGAUGCAUCCAGAGUAGGUUUGGGUUGUGUCCUCAUGUAUCAUGGUAAGGUUAUAGCCUAUACAUCCAACAGCUUAAAUCCCAUGAGUAGAAUUAUCCUACUCAUGAUCUUGAGUUAGCCACCGUAGUCUUUGCCUUGAAGAUUUGGAGGCAUUACCUAUAUGGAGUUUAUGUAGAUGUCUUCACAGAUUAUAAAAGUCUUCAGUAUAUCUUUUCUCAGAAAGAUCUCAAUCUUCAUUAGAGAAGGUGGUUAGAGCUCUUGAAAGAUUAUGACAUGAGCGUCCUCUAUUAUUCGGGCAAGGCCAAUGUAGUGGCCAACGCUCUUAGUAGACUGUCUAUGGGUAGCGUUGGUCAUGUGGAUGAUAGUAAGAAGAAGUUAGCUCAGGAAGUACAUCAGCUUGCCAGACUAGGCGUUCGCUUAGUCGAUAUAAAAGAUGGUGAUGUAUGGGUUCAGAGUAGUUCAAAAUCAUCUCUAGUUUCUGAGGUGAAAUAAAAGCAAGAUAGAGAUCCUAUUUUAGAUAAUUUGAAAGAUUCAGUUAAGUAAAAAGUGUAGGUUUUCUCCUAAGGGGGAGAUGGUGUCCUUCGUUGUCAGGGUCAUCUCUGUGUUCCAGGUGUAGAUGACUUAAGGCAGUGAAUUCUUGGAGAAGUGCAUGGUUCGGACUACUCUAUUCAUCUAGGGGCCACAAAGAUUUACCCUGACUUAUGGGAAAUCUAUUGGUGGAGUGGGAUAAUGAGAGAUGUUGCAGAGUUUGUGGCGAAGUGCUCUACAUGUCAGCAAGUUAAUAUAAAGCAUCAAAAGACUAGUAGGUCCAUGCAGGAGUUCACCAUUCCUACUUGGAAGUGGGAAGAUGUGAACAUGGCCUUCGUGAUGGGUUUAUCUCGGAAUCGUCAUCAUCAUGAUUCAGUUUGGGUCAUUGUAGACAGAAUGACCAAAUCAGCUCAUUUCCUUCCAGUUCAUACCUCUUAUUUAUCAAGGAUUAUGCUAAGCUCUACAUCAGAGAGUUGGUCAGAUUGCAUGAUAUUCCAUUAUUUAUUAUCUCAGACAGAGGUACCCAGUUUACCUUUCAUUUCUGGAAAGCAUUCCAAAAGGGUCAUGGUACCCAAGUUUAUCUCAGUACAGCCUUUCAUCCUUAGAAAGAUGGUCAAGCAGAAAGGACCAUUCAGACUUUAGAAAAUAUGUUGCGUGUGUGUGCAAUUGCUUUCAAGGAAAGUUGGGAUGACCACUUGCCUUUGAUUGAAUUUGCAUACAACAACAACUAUCAUCUAGUAUUCAUAUGGCUUCAUUCGAAGCUCUCUACGGUAGGAGAUGUAGAUCUCCAAUUGGUUGGUUCAAAGUUAGUGAGGCCUCAUUCAUAGGGCCUGACUUAGUAUUCGAUGCCUUAGAGAAGGUUCAGUUGAUCAGAGAAUGACUCUGGGAUGCUUAGAGCCGAUAGAAGUCUUAUGCAGAUAUUUGUAGAAAGGAUCUCGAGUUUGAGAUUGGUGAUUUUGUCUACAUAAAGAUCUCUCCCAUGAAUGGAGUGAAGCUAUUCAGCAAGAAAAGAAAGCUCAGUCCUCGAUAUGUUGGUCCCUUCAAGAUUCUCAGUCGCUUUGGCAAGGUAGCUUAUGAGUUCAAUUUUCCUUCAGACCUAGCCUCAGUUUACCCAAUUUUCCAUGUCUCUUUGCUCAAGAAGUGCAUAGGUGACCCAUCAGUUUUAGGCCCUAUUUAGAGCAUUGAUGUUUAGAACAACCUCUCUUAUAAAGGGAUUCCACUUGAAAUCCUAGACUAUCAGACUCGUAGACUGAGGAACAAAGAAGUCCCUCUAGUUAAAGUUCUUUGGAGAAAUCAGUCUGUCGAGGGAGCUACUUGGGAAGCAAAAGCAGACAUGCGUACCAAGUAUCCUCACCUCUUCUUCGCCAACUCAGAUCAUGUUCUCCUUAAGCUUACUUAGUUUCAUGUUCAAUAUUCAUCACAAACUUGGUACCAAGUACCAUUUCAUAUUCAGUCAUGCAUUCAUGUAUCAUUUUAGUUAUAAAUUAUGCAUCAAAUAUGCAUUCUAAUCGUGAGAAAUUUAGUUCCUCAGAACAUCCAGUCAUGCAUUUAUGAAUCAGUUACACAUGCAUAAGAUAUGCAUGUUCAGUAUGAUAUAUUUCAGUUAUCAGUCCUAUCAGUCAUGAGAUCAUGUUUUAGUUAUUCAUGUUCAGUAUGUACGUCGGUUAUCUUCUCCCCUCACUCUCACUCUCAUUCGAGGAUGAAUGUUCUCAAGGGGGAGAUAUUGUAAUACCCCAUACUUUUUCCUAGCUUGAAAUUGUCUCAAGAAUGUUAGAAGCUUUCCUUGAAAGAUAAACCCACUUUUGUACAUAUGGUAUUUUUAAUAUUUUCACUUUUUUUUUUCACGUGGCAAAUUGAAUUAGCUUAUCAACGAUACCAAUUUCGUCAAAAUCCGACAUCGGAGGAGAAAGUUAUGGCCAAAAUAAAGAAGGCAAUAAAACCACCCAGAUGCGAUGGUGAGGCCGAUGGACCGCCGGACUAGCGAUAGACCGUCGGCCAUGACUGUCGUAGCAAGGCAGUGAGAACUACCUUUUGCCUAGGAGCGAUGAACCAUCAGACUAGCAACGGACUAUCGCUCAGACCGUCGCAAGGAAAGCAGUAAGGCCACCUUCUGGAUAAGGUGCGAAGGUCAGGUUGAUGGAUCAUCAAACUUGCGAUGGACCGUCGCCAAAACUGUCACAGCCAAAACAGUGAGACCCCAUUCUACCUAGAAGCGACGGUUAGGGCCGACGAACCGUCACACCCACCAUUAUAAAUCCCGUUCAGUUUUUUUAAGUCGUUUUAAUAGGGGUAUUUUGAUCAUUUACCACCCACUUAUAUAUACCCAGUUAUAUCUGAUUUCUGCCCAUUUGUUCAUUAUUAUUUCAACAAUAACAUUAGGGUUUCUCUCUGAAAUUAAUCUCCAAGAACAAGAAUCCAAAUCUUCUCCGAGAAACUAAGAGAUUCAAAUCCCUCAAGUUCAAGAACAUCAAGAAAACUCAAUCCAGGUAUGCAUAUUGUCAUUCAUGGACUUCUUUCAUCCAUGAAGCCCAACAAUCCCUUUCUAAGCUCAAGUUUAUGGAUUUUCUUUAGGAAUUUUAUAUUGGGUUGCUCUUGUUCAUGUUGAUAAUGGCUAAUUGAAUUUUUAAUCCAUGUUUGGUGAUAAAUUUCAUGUGGAAUUGAUUAGUAUAGAUGUAGAUUCAUGUCAACCUAUAAUUAAACCCUUGAAUGAUAAAACUAGAAUUGAACUAUUUUUUUUAAUUGUUAUAUAAUGUUGUCUGCAUAUACUAUGCCUAUCAUGUGUUUGAUUAAAUGCCUAGAUGAAGGAAAAUGCCCAAUUAGUAUGAUAUCAUAAAAUUCCUAUGUAUGUAUAAGUUUAUGUAUAUCCCAUGGUUGAUGAAAUGCUUCGAUAAAUGAUUUAUGGAUUAUGAUGUUAGUCAUAUGCUCAAGUAAGUCAUACCUUGUCGGUUUUCUUCUAUCGAGUCCUGGGGGUACUUAUACCUGAAACAUUAGUUAUGUGCCUAGAGCCAUGUCAUUUUUUCACGAUACUCUCAGUCAAGCUAUGUUGCUUAGACUUCAGACAGUCUUAUGACUCAGGAAAUCUUGAUGAUCUCAUGAACUCAGUCAGUUAUCAGAUAUCAGUAGUAUUUCCUCCAGUCAACGUAAUUUAGUAACUCAGUCCAGUCAGUUCAGUUAAUCAUUUUUAAUGUCUAUUCAUAUGGGAGUAGGGAUUAGCACCGAGUGAACCCAAGGAUGGAAACUCAUCUGUUAUAUAGGGGUGUGAUUCUUAGAAGCAAUCCUUGCAUUCUGGAACUAUGUAGCCAGCAUAGGUUGAGACAUCAUAACCUUCUAUAUGAGGGUAGAUGAGAUGUCUUAGCCUGCUAUAUGAAGGUUCCUACCGUUCUCACUAGAGUUACCUAGUAUAUUAGGGUCACUCACAUGUUGUCCUUACCAGUGGCGCGGUAUUAACACCCUUCCAAUUAGGGCAUAGAUUGGACCCCAAUUAAGCUAUAAUGCAUUAUUUAGGUCAUGUCAUUUAGAUAAAUAACUCCCACAGUCUCAAUAUCAGUCUCAAUAAAACAACUCAGAUAGUUCUUUAGAAUUCAGGACUAUCAGAUACAGUCAACUCAGAUACAGUAUGGAACUCAGCUAGUUCCAUCAGAUUUAGGAUUGUCAGAUACAGUUACUCAUGUUAUUAGUUAUUUGAAUUCAGUCAUUAGUCAUGUUAGUCAUCAGUAUACUCAUGUUAUCACGAUUUCAGAUAUAGUUAUUAUGUAUGCAUGCAUGUAUUAUCACGUUCAUAUUAGUCAAUUAACAUACAUUCAGCCUACCUCAUAUGCAUACCAGUACAUUUAAAGUACUGACGCAUUUGCACUAUGGUGUCUUAUACCAUAGGUUCAGUGACACGAGCUCCAGAGCAUCAGUAGAUUCCAG
RNAcentral lists this long non-coding RNA (16647 nucleotides) under Capsicum annuum. RNAcentral's name for it is "long non-coding RNA (CANN_LNC014501)". Lineage: Eukaryota; Viridiplantae; Streptophyta; Magnoliopsida; Solanales; Solanaceae. The record is from RNAcentral.